AGCGCAACCUUUCCUUAUUUGCCAGCGGUAAGCCGGACUUAAGGAUACUGCCAGUGACAAACUGGAGGAAGGCGGGACGACGUCAAGUCAUCAUGGCCCUUACGACCAGGGCUACACACGUGCUACAAUGGUCGGUACAAAGGGUUGCUACCUAGCGAUAGGAUGCUAAUCUCAAAAAGCCGAUCGUAGUCCGGAUUGGAGUCUGCAACUCGACUCCAUGAAGUCGGAAUCGCUAGUAAUCGCGGAUCAGAAUGCCGCGGUGAAUACGUUCCCGGGCCUU
Molecule: ribosomal RNA, 280 nt
Filed under: uncultured Acinetobacter sp.
Lineage: Bacteria; Pseudomonadati; Pseudomonadota; Gammaproteobacteria; Moraxellales; Moraxellaceae
Description: partial 16S ribosomal RNA
Rfam family: Bacterial small subunit ribosomal RNA
Source: RNAcentral